RNAcentral lists this long non-coding RNA (751 nucleotides) under Ananas comosus (pineapple). RNAcentral describes it as "long non-coding RNA (ACOM_LNC022707)". Lineage: Eukaryota; Viridiplantae; Streptophyta; Magnoliopsida; Poales; Bromeliaceae. The record is from RNAcentral.
GAGAUCUUAAAUCUCUUUUUAAUUUCUAUUAGGGUGCUUUUGGUUCGCGCUAUCUUUUAAAGAUUCCUAGUAAUUCAAUGGGAAUAAAAAAAUAUGACGGUGUUUGGCUAAACGCACUAAGUAAUAUAGUUGGUAAUAUUGAAUUCACUUGGGAAUAUGAUUCACCCCAAAGUACUAAUCUCAUUCUCUUGAGGGAGGGUGGGUAUCCUCAUAUUAAUGGAUUGGGAAAAUAAUAAUAUGUCUAAUUUUUUUCUUUCUUCCUACCCGCCGGCUAAUUGAUAUUAUUUUUCGUUACACUCUAACCUUAUAUCUCUCUCUAAACUUAUUUUUCUCUCUAAAAUUCAACUUUUUUGCUCUCUCUAAACUAAGCUUUCUCUCUCUCUCUCUUUCUAAAAUUUCAACUCUCUCACUCCCUCUAAUUUCGACUAUGUUUUUCUAUCUAUUUUUUUAAUUAUGCUCUCUCUCUCUAACUUAUACUCUCUCUUCCUUUUUUUCUAAAAAGAUGUUGAAACUUUUGGUAACAUUAUCUAAAAUUAAUUACAUAAAUAAAUUAAUUAAUUAUAUAUUUUUUGUAAUAUUAAAUAACAUGACUAAUUAAUAUUACCAUGCGAACCAAACAUAGGAAUUCCAUAUUCUUAGUAAUAGAAUGAAUAGGAAUAAGAUUCUCGGAUAUUUUUUAUUUCUAGUAAUCUUUCAUAAUGCGAACCAAACGCACCCUUAGAGUCAACUAAUAUAAUGGUGUAAAUAUUUC